ACAGAGGUCUCAAGCGUUGUUCGGAAUCACUGGGCGUAAAGGGUGCGUAGGCUGCACGGUAAGUCAGAGGUGAAAUCCCGGAGCUCAACUUCGGAAUUGCCUCCGAUACUGCCGUGCUUGAGGACUGGAGAGGAGAUUGGAAUUCACAGUGGAGCAGUGAAAUGCGUAGAUAUUGUGAGGAACACUAGUGGCGAAGGCGAAUCUCUGGACAGUUCCUGACGCUGAGGCACGAAGGCCAGGGGAGCAAACGGGA
Molecule: ribosomal RNA, 253 nt
Filed under: uncultured prokaryote
Description: partial 16S ribosomal RNA
Rfam family: Bacterial small subunit ribosomal RNA
Source: RNAcentral